Oryctolagus cuniculus (rabbit) is the source of this 2007-nucleotide non-coding RNA. The record is from RefSeq and is a predicted model, not a curated record. Lineage: Eukaryota; Metazoa; Chordata; Mammalia; Lagomorpha; Leporidae.
CUCUGAUAGGACCACAAGCUCCUACAAGCCAGAUACAGGUUUAUCUCUGUGAAAUAUUUCUAGCAGCUAAAAGAGUUAAGAAUUUAUGCUGAUGUUGGAUGAGUAACUUUAUCUUCUAUGGCUUACAAGUGUUCUACAGAUAAGGUACUGAAGAAAAAAUAACUGAUAACAGGAGAAGAAAAAUGCUCUCUGGUUUCUCAGAACCUUGCCCUAAUACUUCUUCAUAAAGCCUGUUAUGUUGGUGGUGGUCAAUAAACUGGGAUUCUCAGCAUUCAAGCCUUUAUGUCAGCCCCUCCAACUCUGACCCUGGGUUUGGCCAUGCAACUGGCUUUGACCACUGGGAUAUUGAUAAGCAUGAUGGGAGUGGAUGCUUGAUGAGUGCUUAUACAUUAGCCUUGCCAACUUGCAAUGAUCUCUCUAGAACUCAGAUGCCGUGUUGUGCGCAAGUCCAAGCAGCCCCAUCAUAUGGCCAAGUCCACGAGGAGAAGAACCGAAGCCCUGGAUGAUGCCCCAGGAGCUCCCAGAAGCAGUUGUCUGUGCCAAGGAUCAGAAGCCACAAACACGCAUUAGCGGGCUUUUAGCCUACAAGGAAGAGAAAUCUCGAGUCAGAUUUGUAGAGAGUGAGAGGCUGCAAGUCUGAGACCAGGGUGCCAGCACGGUCAGGUUCACGUGAAGACCCUUGUCUGGGAUACAGACGGACGACUUCUGCUGCAUCCUCACACAGCAAAUAGAGGGCCCAAGAGCUCUUUGGGGUCUCUGACAAAGAUGUGGGGAUCCGGCCACCGGGAGAGAAACUUGGCCAUCUGGGCUGACCCAAGCACAGAUCAGACAGAUCAGGCAAUUUGGAGAGCAAGGAGGAGCUUGGAGGCACAUCAGCAGGAAACUGAAUCAGAAGCAGAGCAGCCAGGACAAGACCUGGUGCUUUGAUGUGGGAGGCUGGCACCACAGGCAGCAACUUUGCUCACUGCACCACAUCACUGGCCCCCUGAAGGUAAUUGAACACAAUAUUUUCAGUGCACCUGUGUUUUGAAUGUGACCUCCAUCAUGAGGUCACGUGUGGAAUUUUCCAUUUGUUCAGUCUAAAUUUUCUUUAAAAAGUUCACUUAAAGAAUGUUAUCUUUGCACCAUGAAACCAUUGAGUAUGGACUUCACCUUGCCCCUUGGAGCAUGUGCCUGGGCAGUAUGGCUCUUGUUGCUAUGGUCCAUAAAGCUGAGGGGCAGGUGCAAGCAGACUACUUUCUGGUUAGUUCUUACAAUGAGUCACAUGUGGUAUCCAGCAAUUAUUUUCCUAAAUAUGUAUUUCCCCUGUUGCCUUUGAAUUGGGGCCUCCAUCUGGUGCCUCUGGUAAUGGGGGUUCUGUAAGGUGGGGAUUCUUGUGAAAAUGACUUACUGGGGGACUGCUAUUGGGCAUUGGGAGAGAGGGAAGCAGCGUCAUGCGGCUGAGGAUUUGCUCUCGGUGGGACUUAUAGCACAGAAGCUCUGGGCCCAGCAGGCAUUAGCCAUGGCCAGCUUACAGCAGUGGGUGUCUCCUGGCUGUGGGCAUUCCCUCUUUUUUAAAAAAAAAAUAUUUUUUUAAAUUUAUUUAAGGUAUAGAGCCACAGACAGAGAGAGGGAGAGACAGAGAGAAAAGUCUUCCAUCCACUGAUUCACUCCCCAGAUGGCCGUGAUGGCCGGAGCUGGGCCAAUCAUUACGCCUUGAAGAGUGUGGGACUCUACCUUCGUAUGCUGUUGGAUGCAUAUCAGAGGAAGACAGGCAGAUUCGCAGGGCUGGGAUACACCGUCACCACUGGAAUCCCUCCUGCUACAUCUGCCCCGCGGUCUGUCUUUCCCAGGCUUCCUGGAAACCACACAGCUUCUCUGUAAACGCCUCACUCAGGUGAGACCAUGCAUAGAGCAGGAUAUGGGGGUAGGUCAGUUCCCAUACUGACUUGGGAUCCAAAAGCCCGAAGUCCUUUUUCUUGGUUCAAUCCCCUAGCUGCCAUGGCAUAUUUGGGAACCAAUUUAACA